GGAGGGAUGGCAGAGUGGACUAUUGCGGCGGUCUUGAAAACCGUUGAGCCUUCACCGGUUCCGGGGGUUCGAAUCCCUCUCCCUCCGCCA
Molecule: transfer RNA, 90 nt
Filed under: Actinomycetes bacterium
Lineage: Bacteria; Bacillati; Actinomycetota; Actinomycetes
Also listed under: 1 other name
Description: Actinobacteria bacterium (groundwater metagenome) tRNA-Ser
Rfam family: tRNA
About the family: Transfer RNA (tRNA) molecules are approximately 80 nucleotides in length. Their secondary structure includes four short double-helical elements and three loops (D, anti-codon, and T loops). Further hydrogen bonds mediate the characteristic L-shaped molecular structure. tRNAs have two regions of fundamental functional importance: the anti-codon, which is responsible for specific mRNA codon recognition, and the 3' end, to which the tRNAs corresponding amino acid is attached (by aminoacyl-tRNA synthetases). tRNAs cope with the degeneracy of the genetic code in two manners: having more than one tRNA (with a specific anti-codon) for a particular amino acid; and 'wobble' base-pairing, i.e. permitting non-standard base-pairing at the 3rd anti-codon position.
Source: RNAcentral